UGGGGAAUUUUGGACAAUGGGCGCAAGCCUGAUCCAGCCAUGCCGCGUGUCUGAAGAAGGCCUUCGGGUUGUAAAGGACUUUUGUCAGGGAAGAAAAGGACAGGGUUAAUACCUCUGUUUGAUGACGGUACCUGAAGAAUAAGCACCGGCUAACUACGUGCCAGCAGCCGCGGUAAUACGUAGGGUGCGAGCGUUAAUCGGAAUUACUGGGCGUAAAGCGAGCGCAGACGGUUACUUAAGCAGGAUGUGAAAUCCCCGGGCUCAACCUGGGAACUGCGUUCUGAACUGGGUGACUAGAGUGUGUCAGAGGGAGGUAGAAUUCCACGUGUAGCAGUGAAAUGCGUAGAGAUGUGGAGGAAUACCGAUGGCGAAGGCAGCCUCCUGGGAUAACACUGACGUUCAUGCUCGAAAGCGUGGGUAGCAAACAGGAUUAGAUACCCUGGUAGUCCACGCCCUAAACGAUGUCAAUUAGCUGUUGGGCAACUUGAUUGCUUAGUAGCGUAGCUACGCGUGAAAUUGACCGCCUGGGGAGUACGGUCGCAAGAU
Molecule: ribosomal RNA, 546 nt
Filed under: uncultured bacterium
Lineage: Bacteria
Description: bacterial SSU rRNA
Rfam family: Bacterial small subunit ribosomal RNA
Source: RNAcentral